RNAcentral lists this long non-coding RNA (1873 nucleotides) under Olea europaea subsp. europaea. The record is from RNAcentral. Lineage: Eukaryota; Viridiplantae; Streptophyta; Magnoliopsida; Lamiales; Oleaceae.
GUCAAUUUUUUUUUCUCUUUUUGUGUCUUUCUCUCUCGCUAUUCUCUCUGCUCUAAUUGGUGGCAGUUAGAUCUGUACGAGGAAUUCCCAUGGAGAUGUCCUAAAGAUGGAAUUAGAUACAAGCAAAUUGUAGAAAGGAAGAGGCUAUAGAUGUUUCUAAUUGGACUCAACAAAAAUCUUGACGCUAUUUGAGAGAGAAUUCAAGGAACAAAACCACACCCUUAGCCUUCGAGAAGCAUUCUCUGAUGUUCGACUUAAAGAGAGCAGAAAAAGUCCUUUUUUUUUUUUUUAGUCCGACUACAAGAAAAUAAAUGCAAUAGUUGUGUUUAAAAUUUGCAAUUCAUGGUUUCUUUUUGAUGUCUUUCACUGCUAGGCUGUAUGUUAUAGUAGCCUGUUUUAAAUGGAAGGAAGAAUUGUGUUAAAAAAAAAAGUUCUCUCUGCUCUAAUUUCUUGACAUCUUGUGCAGAUCUUUUGGCUAUGAAUCCUAGGUAUGGUGGAUAGGUUUACCGUUUGUUUCCAUAUCUGCAAGAUGUUUUUGGGCUUUACGAUUUUUUUCUCGUCCUUCUCUUCAUGAUUUCUUUCUUCAGAUCGCAGAACUGGAACCCUAACUUCCAAAAUUUGUAUGCAUUCAAGCAGGUAAAGGUAUAUACUCCCCGAUGAAGUUUGGGAAACAGCUAUGCCUCGAACAUAGCAUUAGCAAAGAAGGCAUUCUUGAAGAUUUCGCUACUCAGGUCCAAACCUCUCACACUCUCUAUAUUUUUGUAAGAUUUUUCCAUUAAUGUAGAGUUGUUUUAUGCUUGUGAUUGGCGAAGAAAUUGGAAUUGAGAAUGGAAAAGAUAUUAUAAAGGGAUGUUUUGAAUUUGAUUGGUGAUUGUGCAGUGUAAAUGUGCUGAAACUCAAUGCUUUACUGUCAGUAUGUUUAUGUUUAUGUCUUUGUAUACUCAUUUCUUUGUUUCCUUUUUUCGGGUAGAGCUGUUGUUUUAUGUUUUCCUUCGUAGAAAAGUAUAACCGGAAAAGAUAUAAAGAAGAAAAGUUUUCAAUUUUCGAAUUGGUGAUUAUGGGUGGAAAUUUUUGAUACUUGAUGCUUUACUUUUUCUAUGAUUUUUCCUGUUUGAUCGUGAUGGAGGUAGAGAAGGCUUGAACUAUUGGGUUGGUGAAGUGCAAUAACAAAGUGUGGCAGUUCAUGUAUCAAAAGUUGUACCCAUCUUAGUCUGAUGAAAUGAAAUUGCACUGUAUUUUUUUUAUUUUGUUUUGUUUUGUGUGUGUAUUAAAUAAGGAAUUUGGUAGUUUGUCAUAUCGUGUUUUAGUUAUUAAGAGUAUUAGUCAGCAAGUGCAAGUUGGAAUUGGAAGGGAAAGAGAGCAAUAUAAUAAAGUGUUAAGUUUCAGUUAUUUUGGAAAGGGAAUUGCCAGAGAACCGAGAGAAUUGUUUCAAAUAAGUUCUUGAUUGUACAAAUGAGCCUGUACUGAGUGAUUGGUCCACAGCUAUAUUAAGCACCAUUGAAUUUUGUGAGUUUUAUUCUUAUAAUUCCUUUUAUUAAUGUUGAUUAGAUUACAAAAUAGUUUAGUUAUUUGCAGGUCUUUCGCACUGUUUUUAUUGUGGUUUAAUGUGAUUAUCCAUAAUUAAUGCAGAAAAUUAGGACUCUGGAGCUAGAUGGGAAGAUAAUUAAGUUUCAAAUUGUGAGUUAAUUUGACUUAAUGACUACUCCAUAGUUAUGAACAUGAGUUAAUUUGAUCUAAUGAAUACUGUAUCGUUGUGAAUUUAUAAAAACAUGUAUAUGAAUAUUAUUUUAGCUGUAUGUGCUAUUCCUUUAUGAUGGUUUUGCUACCUGUAAUAUGUGCUUCAUGCAAAUAAGUAUCAGAAAAAGAAAUCAAC